This is a long non-coding RNA of Trichechus manatus latirostris (Florida manatee), 977 nucleotides long. RefSeq lists it as uncharacterized. The transcript is spliced from 3 exons. NCBI's taxonomy places the organism in Eukaryota, Metazoa, Chordata, Mammalia, Sirenia, Trichechidae. The record is from RefSeq and is a predicted model, not a curated record.
UUCUUUUACCUUUUGGUGGAAUCAUUAACCCACUUUCAGUUAAUCAUUUGUUCGUAACCAUAGGUAGUAAAAGGCACUUUCAUCUUGCUUGCUAAUUUUAGACAAAAACUGACUUUGAGUUCUUGCUGUGUAAAAUGCAUUCUACCCUGUUUGCAUACAGAAGUUAAAAAAAAAAAAACUUGUUUCUUUAUGCAAAACUGUGUUUCUAUUUAUGUUGCUUUUUUGCUUUUUGAAAAUUCUGUGUCUCAAUCUGCCACUAUCUGACUCUGAGUCGGUCUUUUUUUUUUCCCAACCAGAACUCUUUAUCCUUCACAGAUUCUCUUUCUGUAUAUGCCUGUCUUCAUGUUCUUUUCCCCCCCUUGUAGGACUAAAUGAGUUUCACCCUGUUUAUUCUCCCCUUCUACACACCAAAAUGUCCCUCUUGUUUGGCAGUUCACAUCAAAGAGAUUCCUGCUUACAUGAGACCCUAGAUUCCCACCACACCGUGUGUGGCAUCACGGGUUUGCAGCUACAAGGGUGGAAAACCAGAGAGCUAAGUUACUUUUUGGUUCUCCAGCUUCUGAAGUGGAAUCUGGUGCUUUCUGAAGUAGGAGCAGCGGCAAAGAGAACGCAGAGCUCUCAGGAACUCAUCACCGGAGAUGUCCUUCAGACAUGAGAGAAGUGGUGUCAUUUUGGACCUCAGGGGGAGAGAUGUGUUUCAUCAACAGAUAAAUGGUACUCUCUGACUGAAACUGCUUCUGUCCAAGGGUAGUUCCCUGCCUGUUUCCAUUACCAUAUGCAGAAUAUUAGACCCAGGAGGGAGCGUUCAGAUCACUUAUCCAAUCUCUUCAUUUUACCAAUAAAGAAAAAUAAAUAAAGAGACCCCAAGAGAAGAGACCCUAUAAAAGUAAAGCAGUACUGAAGAAGAACAAAGUGAGAGGUUUUACCCUACCUGAUUUUAGAACCUAUUAAAACCACAACAGUAGUCAAAACAGCAU